This 365-nucleotide ribosomal RNA is filed under the name uncultured eukaryote. Its description in RNAcentral is "partial 18S ribosomal RNA". It matches the Rfam family "Eukaryotic small subunit ribosomal RNA", at positions 592 to 976 of the family's 1831-position model. The record is from RNAcentral.
CAAUAGCGUAUAUUUAAGUUGUUGCAGUUAAAAAGCUCGUAGUCGGAUUUUGGCUGAGAACGAUCGGUCCGCCGUUAGGUGUGCACUGAUUGGUCUCAGCUUCCUGGUGAGGAGGUGGGCUUCACGGCCACUUAGUCACCGUGGUUACUUUGAAAAAAUUAGAGUGUUCAAAGCGGGCUUACGCUUGAAUAUAUUAGCAUGGAAUAACACCAUAGGACUCCUGUCCUAUUUCGUUGGUCUCGGGACGGGAGUAAUGAUUAAGAGGAACAGUUGGGGGCAUUCGUAUUUCAUUGUCAGAGGUGAAAUUCUUGGAUUUAUGAAAGACGAACUUCUGCGAAAGCAUUUGCCAAGGAUGUUUUCAUUGA